GGGGACUUAGCUCAGUGGUAGAGCACUUGCUUAGCAAGUGCAAGGCCCUGGGUUCGGUCCCCAGCUCCG
This 69-nucleotide transfer RNA is filed under the name Rattus norvegicus (Norway rat). It matches the Rfam family "tRNA". From Rfam's summary of the family: Transfer RNA (tRNA) molecules are approximately 80 nucleotides in length. Their secondary structure includes four short double-helical elements and three loops (D, anti-codon, and T loops). The record is from Rfam by way of RNAcentral. Lineage: Eukaryota; Metazoa; Chordata; Mammalia; Rodentia; Muridae.